RNAcentral lists this RNase P RNA (373 nucleotides) under Pseudomonadota bacterium. RNAcentral's name for it is "RNase P RNA component class A". It matches the Rfam family "Bacterial RNase P class A". Rfam says of the family: Ribonuclease P (RNase P) is a ubiquitous endoribonuclease, found in archaea, bacteria and eukarya as well as chloroplasts and mitochondria. Its best characterised activity is the generation of mature 5'-ends of tRNAs by cleaving the 5'-leader elements of precursor-tRNAs. The record is from RNAcentral. Lineage: Bacteria; Pseudomonadati; Pseudomonadota.
AGAGUCGGCUGGACAGUCGCUGCAUUCGCUGCGCGAAUGUGGAGGAAAGUCCGGGCUCCGGCGGACGAGGUGCCAGGUAAUACCUGGGGGGCGUGAGCCCACGGAAAGUGCAACAGAGAGCAGACCGCCUAAGCGCCCGGAAACGGGCGCCGGCAAGGGUGAAAGGGUGCGGUAAGAGCGCACCGCGUCGGUGGUAACACUCGACGGCACGGCAAACCCCACCUGGAGCAAGGCCAAAUAGGGAAGCAGCGGCCUUCGGGCCGCAGCGUCGUCCGCACGCGCUUCCGGGUAGGCCGCUAGAGGUCCGUGGUGACACGGAUCCCAGAGGAAUGACUGUCCUCGACAGAACCCGGCUUACAGGCCGACUCUCGCC